Long non-coding RNA from Ipomoea nil (Japanese morning glory), 534 nucleotides. RefSeq lists it as uncharacterized. The record is from RefSeq and is a predicted model, not a curated record. NCBI's taxonomy places the organism in Eukaryota, Viridiplantae, Streptophyta, Magnoliopsida, Solanales, Convolvulaceae. The transcript is spliced from 2 exons.
UGCCGCCGAUAACUGGUCAAUUUUUCUUUUUCAUUUUUCCUUAACUUGUCGCGAUCUGAUGAAAAUCCAAAUAAUCCAAAUCGAUCUGAAAAUCCCCCAAAUCGAUCCCCAAAUUCGCUCCAGCUCGUCGCUCAUCGUCACUCAUCGUCGCUCCUCCGCCGUCUGUCAGCCACAGCAACCGCCUCUGGUCGUCUCCUCGCCGCCAACCGCGCGCCUCCUCGCCGCCAACAGCAGCAACGCCGUCCGUCAGCAGUAGCGCCGCCGCCGACGCAUUUCGCCUCGCCACCGGCGACAUUGACGAGGCGGAGGCCGGGAACUGGAUCACUAUUGUACAUGGUAUCAAAUUCCGAAGGUGAAGAUGUACAAUCCUUGGACUGGAUAACAAGAUUAAAAAUUGCAAUUGGGACUGCAGAAGCUUUGUCAUACUUAAACCAUGAAUGCUAUCCUCCCCUUAUUCACAGGUAUCAUAAUAUUUCUUAUGCACUACUAUCACUAUAACGUUUUCUAUACUGAAAAAGGUUAGGCCUUGAAUAU